Bombus terrestris (buff-tailed bumblebee) is the source of this 1230-nucleotide long non-coding RNA. RefSeq lists it as uncharacterized. Lineage: Eukaryota; Metazoa; Arthropoda; Insecta; Hymenoptera; Apidae. The record is from RefSeq and is a predicted model, not a curated record. The transcript is spliced from 3 exons.
UAUUUACUUGAUACUUCUAUCUGUCAACUAUAGCUGCCGACGGAUACUUUCGUUUAAAGACAACUUUGUUCAAUUAAAAGUUAAAAAAGAAAGGAGGAGGGUGUACAAUUUCGAAUCUCCUACCUUGUUUGAUUUGUGGAGUCGAUCAGGUGUGAGUAUGGUUUGGCGAUGAAUCGGUUUUAACAAUUAAAUUUUGUUUCGCGAUUAGUUACUCGAUGUUUCGGAUUUUUCGAACUUAAUUAACAAUUUUAUUAAACGGAAUUACAGUAUGUACUAGAUUGUUUCUUUGACGCAGACGGAUCGACUUGCGAAUGAACAAAGGAAUAAAUGAAUCACCGAAUCUCAAGUUAAUACCGAACCUUAAGUGCAAUACUCUUACAAUACUUUUUAAGUUAAACUCACUGUUUCCAACUAAGACUGACUUCUGACUGCUCUGAAUUAAAACUGAACUCUAACUACUUUCAACACUACUUUCAAUUAAAUUCUGAACUUGGUAAAACCAGCUCUGACUUCAAUUAAAACUGCACUCCAACAACUCUAUUGAGUACUGAAUCUCUAUUUAUAUUCUUCCUAAUUGUCACGUGACCGAUUAUUUCUUUUGUAAUUGUACCAUUACUACGUGACAAUUUAUGAAUUUCGUAACUACCUAUUUCCGCUGGGGUUCUUGUUUUCUUGAUUAUCUCACCCUUUGCUUGGUGUUAAUGACAUACAAGGUGCUUGAAAGAAUGUACAUGUUACAGGUGGUCGUAUUUUGCUGAUGCUGCGUCUGCGUUCUUUCCAUGACCUUCGUUACUGAUACCAGUGGAAUGUGCCGGUCGCGUGGCUGCUUGGCCUUGCUGAGGUUGCAUUUUGUGUGUCCGGUGAUCGCCCUGCUGAUGUCGGUGAAUCGUACGAGGUGCUUGCCGAGUCUUUGCACGUGUUGUAUGCUCUAUUUCUUAUGUUCCCCAAGGUUAUUGUGAGUUCAAGGACAAGUUUUAAUACGUCAUUCUAUAAGAGGUGGUGCGUGGUGGUAGUUUCUAUUUGUUGAUUUGCUUGCCGAGUUUUAGGUUAUAUUGAAUCAUGGAUACUGACAUAUCUGGAGCUGUAGAGUGUAAGAAAAAGAAAAGGAAUAGAGGGAAGCGCAGGCCGUUCGUACCUCCUGUGGUCGAAGUGGUAGAUACAAAUGCCUGCGCCAAGGUCCGUUUUCCGGAGGAAAUUCCUGAUAGAGUAUUGGAAGCCUAUCUAUUUCUA